This 200-nucleotide ribosomal RNA is filed under the name uncultured bacterium. RNAcentral's name for it is "partial 16S ribosomal RNA". It matches the Rfam family "Bacterial small subunit ribosomal RNA", at positions 327 to 523 of the family's 1533-position model. The record is from RNAcentral.
CGGUCCAGACUCCUACGGGAGGCAGCAGUGGGGAAUAUUGCGCAAUGGGCGAAAGCCUGACGCAGCGACGCCGCGUGAGGGAUGAAGGUUUUCGGAUCGUAAACCUCUGUCAGAAGGGAAGAAACUACGUUGUGCUAAUCAGCAGCGUACUGAACCUUCAAAGGAAGCACCGGCUAACUCCGUGCCAGCAGCCGCGGUAA